Mus musculus (house mouse) is the source of this 702-nucleotide long non-coding RNA. RefSeq annotates it as predicted gene, 32772. The record is from RefSeq and is a predicted model, not a curated record. Lineage: Eukaryota; Metazoa; Chordata; Mammalia; Rodentia; Muridae. The transcript has 8 exons.
AGAAUUCCAGAAUCUUGGGACAUUGUUGGCCUGACUGAUAGCCACAGACCUCCCCUGUGGAGGCUGUUGGGGAAGUAACUUCAACAGGAGCCAGGGGUCCAGGACACAUGAUCUAAUGCCUUCCAUCCCAUAUAAAAUCUCCAUUCUCCUAUUGAUCAUUUGUAACUUUUAGGACAACCACAGAGAGUCGUCCUUCCUUAAUACUCAGGAAUAAAUUUGGCGUGAUAGAACCACCACCAGAUGAAAUUAUUUUUCUGCCACCACCAGUUGAUGUAAUUGUGGUAUAAUGGGGCUGCCAAAGUAGCGAACCCUGGGAUCCAGAGUCCACAGAAUCCCACAGUCCCCAGGAAUUCUCUUACCUGCCACCAGAAGGUCAUCUACAUAUUGCAAAAGAGUACCUGGGGGAUUGUUGGCCCAGAAAGAGGCAAGAUCAUGAUGUAGAGCUUCAUCAAACAAGAUUGAACCAGCAUCAGAUGAUGUUCUGCCAGCAUUAUUUUUUGUAAUUCUAAAAUCUGCAUUCUGCUAUUGAUCAUUUGUAACUUUUUGGACAUCCACAGCUAAGUAACCAUACCAUUAUGAUACUCCUGUGAGCUGCCUACGUUCUACAACCACAGCUCUCUGAUAACUGUAGUCUCCCCUCCCCCAGCCUGAAACCUGCUUGCUCAGGGGUGGAGCUUCCUGUUCAUUCGUUCUGCCACGCCC